GCUUUUUGAAGUGUUUUACAUGCAUUAUCUCAUGUGGUCUUUACCAGUGCUCUGUAUAAGGUGAAUAUCGGUUUUUUCCAACUCAGAGACUAAGAAAACAGCUGUGGUAGGGGCAGAUGAGUCAGUGAGAUUUGUGAGCAGCUCUCAACAUGUACCUGCACCCUUAGAAUGAAGACAGAGAAGAAGCAGGUUUCAAAUGAAUAAGCAGGUACCUGGAGAGGCCUCAAGGGAUGUGGCAAGAUGAUUCAGGAAACCAGCCAAGGCACAAUGGAAGGGUUUGGGUUGCGUGUUCUGUACCUCUGGGAACCUGGUGAUCAGGAAAAAGACUCCUCUGGUUUCAAGGAAUAGCAGUAACAUCUUCUAAGCAAGAGUCCCAAGAGGUGACUCAAAGAAAGAGGUCUUUGGGUCACAGAAGGAGAUAUAAAUUAGCUCUCUGGAAAAAGUUACUGAACACAGACUGAAAAACUGCUAUACACUGAAAGUGAUGGUCAGUUUGAUGACAGGAUAGAAAAUCUAAAUUGCUGCCUGCCUGAAAGACCAUCCA
Molecule: long non-coding RNA, 544 nt
Organism: Phascolarctos cinereus (koala)
Lineage: Eukaryota; Metazoa; Chordata; Mammalia; Diprotodontia; Phascolarctidae
Source: RefSeq, a predicted model, not a curated record